GUGGGGAAUUUUGGACAAUGGGGGGAACCCUGAUCCAGCCAUCCCGCGUGUGCGACGAAGGCCUUCGGGUUGUAAAGCACUUUUUGCAGGAAAGAAAUUGCGCGGGCUAAUACCUCGUGUAGAUGACGGUACCUGCAGAAUAAGCACCGGCUAACUACGUGCCAGCAGCCGCGGUAAUACGUAGGGUGCAAGCGUUAAUCGGAAUUACUGGGCGUACAGCGUGCGCAGGCGGUUCGGAAAGAAGGAUGUGAAAUCCCAGGGCUUAACCUGGGAACUGCAUUCUGAACUACCGGGGUAGAGUGUGUCAGAGGGAGGUGGAAUUCCACGUGUAGCAGUGAAAUGCGUAGAGGUGUGGAGGAACACCGAUGGCGAAGGCAGCCUCCUGGGAUAACACUGACGCUCAUGCACGAAAGCGUGGGGAGCAAACAGGAUUAGAAACCCUUGUAGUCC
This 450-nucleotide ribosomal RNA is filed under the name uncultured bacterium. RNAcentral's name for it is "partial 16S ribosomal RNA". It matches the Rfam family "Bacterial small subunit ribosomal RNA", at positions 354 to 796 of the family's 1533-position model. The record is from RNAcentral.